Molecule: ribosomal RNA, 301 nt
Filed under: uncultured bacterium
Lineage: Bacteria
Description: partial 16S ribosomal RNA
Rfam family: Bacterial small subunit ribosomal RNA
Source: RNAcentral
CAGUCGCCACGGUAAUACGAAGGGUGCAAGCGUUACUCGGAAUUACUGGGCGUAAAGCGUGCGUAGGUGGUGGUUUAAGUCCGUUGUGAAAGCCCUGGGCUCAACCUGGGAAUUGCAGUGGAUACUGGGUCACUAGAGUGUGGUAGAGGAUAGUGGAAUUUCCGGUGUAGCAGUGAAAUGCGUAGAGAUCGGAAGGAACAUCUGUGGCGAAGGCGACUAUCUGGGCCAACACUGACACUGAGGCACGAAAGCGUGGGGAGCAAACAGGAUUAGAGACCCCUGUAGUCCCUGUCUCUUAUAA